AAAUGAAUGCAUGAAUGAGGAGGGGAAAUUUUGGGGUGUUACAGCUGCCCCUAUUCAGUCAUCAGCUAACCUGAGCAGGAUGAAAGCGAACAACUUAUCAGACAAACAGGGUGAGCUGUGAUUGAAUACCAAAGACAACCCGAAAAUUUGCGCUCUGAGAACACCACAAAAAUGCUGAAAUACACCGCGUUGUUUAUUUCUCUUCCGAUCCUCUGGCUGAAUCU
This 224-nucleotide long non-coding RNA is filed under the name Lathyrus oleraceus (garden pea). Its description in RNAcentral is "Pisum sativum (pea) long non-coding RNA (PSAT_LNC035623)". Lineage: Eukaryota; Viridiplantae; Streptophyta; Magnoliopsida; Fabales; Fabaceae. The record is from RNAcentral.